RNAcentral lists this ribosomal RNA (274 nucleotides) under uncultured bacterium. RNAcentral describes it as "partial 16S ribosomal RNA". It matches the Rfam family "Bacterial small subunit ribosomal RNA", at positions 523 to 796 of the family's 1533-position model. The record is from RNAcentral.
AUACGGAGGGUGCAAGCGUUAUUCGGAAUCACUGGGCGUAAAGGACGCGUAGGCGGGUUGGCAAGUCAGAUGUGAAAUCCUACAGCUUAACUGUAGAACUGCAUUUGAAACUGCUAACCUAGAGUAUGGGAGGGGGAGAUGGAAUUAGUGGCGUAGGGGUAAAAUCCGUAGAUAUCACUAGGAUUACCGAAAGCGAAGGCGAUCUCCUGGAACAUAACUGACGCUAAGGCGUGAAAGCGUGGGGAGCAAACAGGAUUAGAAACCCGAGUAGUCC